This 465-nucleotide ribosomal RNA is filed under the name uncultured organism. RNAcentral describes it as "partial 16S ribosomal RNA". It matches the Rfam family "Bacterial small subunit ribosomal RNA", at positions 334 to 796 of the family's 1533-position model. The record is from RNAcentral.
CACUCCUACGGGAGGCAGCAGUGAGGAAUAUUGGACAAUGGGUGGAAGCCUGAUCCAGCCAUCCCGCGUGCAGGAAGACGGCCCUAUGGGUUGUAAACUGCUUUUAUCUGGGGAUAAACCUACUUACGUGUAAGUAGCUGAAGGUACCAGAAGAAUAAGCACCGGCUAACUCCGUGCCAGCAGCCGCGGUAAUACGGAGGGUGCAAGCGUUAUCCGGAUUUAUUGGGUUUAAAGGGUCCGUAGGCGGACUGAUAAGUCAGUGGUGAAAUCCGACAGCUUAACUGUCGAACUGCCAUUGAUACUGUUAGUCUUGAGUAAGGUUGAAGUGGCUGGAAUAAGUAGUGUAGCGGUGAAAUGCAUAGAUAUUACUUAGAACACCAAUUGCGAAGGCAGGUCACUAAGUCUUAACUGACGCUGAUGGACGAAAGCGUGGGGAGCGAACAGGAUUAGAAACCCCUGUAGUCC